CGUGCCAGCAGCCGCGGUAAUACAUAGGUCACAAGCGUUAUCCGGAAUUAUUGGGCGUAAAGCGUUCGUAGGCGGUUUGUUAGGUCUGGAGUUAAAGACUGGGGCUCAACCCCAGCCCGCUCUGGAUACUGGCUGACUAGAGUUACAUAGAGGUAAGUGGAAUUCUUAGUGGAGCGGUGGAAUGCGUAGAUAUUAGGAAGAACACCAAUGGCGAAGGCAGCUUACUGGAUGUACACUGACGCUCAGGGACGAAAGCGUGGGGAGCAAACAGGAUUAGAUACCCUGGUAGUCCACGCCGUAAACGAUGAUCAUUAGCCGCUAGAAUAUUUAGUGGCGCAGCUAACGCAUUAAAUGAUCCGCCUGAGUAGUAUGCUCGCAAGAGUGAAACUUAAAGGAAUUGACGGGGACCCGCACAAGCGGUGGAGCAUGUGGUUUAAUUUGAAGAUACGCGUAGAACCUUACCCACUCUUGACAUCUUCCGCAAUACUAUGGAGACAUAGUGGAGGUUAACGGAAUGACAGAUGGUGCAUGGUUGCCGUCAGCUCGUGCCGUGAGGUGUUAGGUUAAGUCCUGCAACGAGCGCAACCCCUGUCUUUAGUUACUAACGGAUAAUGCCGAGGACUCUAGAGAGACUGACUGGGUAACCAGUAGGAAGGUGGGGACGACGUCAAAUCAUCAUGCCUCUUACGAGUGGGGCAA
RNAcentral lists this ribosomal RNA (699 nucleotides) under uncultured Mycoplasma sp. RNAcentral describes it as "bacterial SSU rRNA". It matches the Rfam family "Bacterial small subunit ribosomal RNA", at positions 504 to 1216 of the family's 1533-position model. The record is from RNAcentral. Lineage: Bacteria; Bacillati; Mycoplasmatota; Mollicutes; Mycoplasmatales; Mycoplasmataceae.